RNAcentral lists this ribosomal RNA (240 nucleotides) under Vibrio sp. a7p9. Its description in RNAcentral is "partial 16S ribosomal RNA". It matches the Rfam family "Bacterial small subunit ribosomal RNA", at positions 843 to 1082 of the family's 1533-position model. Lineage: Bacteria; Pseudomonadati; Pseudomonadota; Gammaproteobacteria; Vibrionales; Vibrionaceae. The record is from RNAcentral.
CUUUCGGAGCUAACGCGUUAAGUAGACCGCCUGGGGAGUACGGUCGCAAGAUUAAAACUCAAAUGAAUUGACGGGGGCCCGCACAAGCGGUGGAGCAUGUGGUUUAAUUCGAUGCAACGCGAAGAACCUUACCUACUCUUGACAUCCAGAGAACUUUCCAGAGAUGGAUUGGUGCCUUCGGGAACUCUGAGACAGGUGCUGCAUGGCUGUCGUCAGCUCGUGUCGUGAGAUGUUGGGUUA